RNAcentral lists this ribosomal RNA (250 nucleotides) under uncultured prokaryote. RNAcentral describes it as "partial 16S ribosomal RNA". It matches the Rfam family "Bacterial small subunit ribosomal RNA", at positions 524 to 773 of the family's 1533-position model. The record is from RNAcentral.
UACAUAGGGGGCAAGCGUUGUCCGGAUUUACUGGGUGUAAAGGGCGCGUAGGCGGGAUGGCAAGUCAGAUGUGAAAUCUCCGGGCUUAACCCGGAAAUUGCAUUUGAAACUGUCGUUCUUGAGUAUCGGAGAGGCAAGCGGAAUUCCUAGUGUAGCGGUGAAAUGCGUAGAUAUUAGGAGGAACACCAGUGGCGAAGGCGGCUUGCUGGACGUCAACUGACGCUGAGGCGCGAAAGCGUGGGGAGCAAAC